RNAcentral lists this ribosomal RNA (698 nucleotides) under uncultured bacterium. Its description in RNAcentral is "bacterial SSU rRNA". It matches the Rfam family "Bacterial small subunit ribosomal RNA", at positions 8 to 749 of the family's 1533-position model. The record is from RNAcentral.
AGAGUUUGAUCCUGGCUCAGAGCGAACGCUGGCGGCAGGCUUAACACAUGCAAGUCGAGCGGGCGUAGCAAUACGUCAGCGGCAGACGGGUGAGUAACGCGUGGGAACAUACCUCUUGGNUUCGGAACAACACAGGGAAACUUGUGCUAAUACCGGAUAAGCCCUUACGGGGAAAGAUUUAUCGCCGAGAGAUUGGCCCGCGUCUGAUUAGCUAGUUGGUAGGGUAAUGGCCUACCAAGGCGACGAUCAGUAGCUGGUCUGAGAGGAUGAUCAGCCACAUUGGGACUGAGACACGGCCCAAACUCCUACGGGAGGCAGCAGUGGGGAAUAUUGGACAAUGGGGGCAACCCUGAUCCAGCCAUGCCGCGUGAGUGAUGAAGGCCCUAGGGUUGUAAAGCUCUUUUGUGCGGGAAGAUAAUGACGGUACCGCAAGAAUAAGCCCCGGCUAACUUCGUGCCAGCAGCCGCGGUAAUACGAAGGGGGCUAGCGUUGCUCGGAAUCACUGGGCGUAAAGGGUGCGUAGGCGGGUUUUUAAGUCAGGGGUGAAAUCCUGGAGCUCAACUCCAGAACUGCCUUUGAUACUGAAGAUCUUGAGUCCGGGAGAGGUGAGUGGAACUGCGAGUGUAGAGGUGAAAUUCGUAGAUAUUCGCAAGAACACCAGUGGCGAAGGCGGCUCACUGGCCCGGUACUGACGCUGU